RNAcentral lists this long non-coding RNA (255 nucleotides) under Gossypium barbadense (sea-island cotton). RNAcentral describes it as "long non-coding RNA (GBAR_LNC021180)". Lineage: Eukaryota; Viridiplantae; Streptophyta; Magnoliopsida; Malvales; Malvaceae. The record is from RNAcentral.
CAGUCAUCAAACAGGUCUCAACCGAAGCCAUCUUGGCAGCCCAAAAGGCUCCCGAGGUUGCUCGUGGCGUGGCUUCCGAAGUCCACCGUGCUGGAGUGGUGAACACCGCCUCAGGAUUAGCAAAAUCAGUGUACACCAAGUAUGAACCCACAGCAAAAGAGCUUUAUGCGAAAUAUGAACCCAAAGCUGAACAAUUUGCGGUUUCAGCUUGGCGUAAACUCAACAUGCUCCCGCUCUUCCCUCAAGUUGCCUCGG